AAGGUACAACUCUUCCCUGAGAACUCUGUAACAUUCAACUUGAAACAGGAACAUUCACAAGACAGAGGGCUUUACUGUAUUGCUCGCACAUUCCAGCGUUCUCCAACUGAAGAUUCGGGGAAUCAAUCCAUCGCUGAUAUUAAAAUCAAUCCGAAUGCUCCUGAUGCUAUCCUGCCUGCUGAAGGAAGAAGUCGCUGUACAUGCUACACAAGUGACGGGGUAGCUGUUGUGUGUGACCAAUGCAUGGUAAGAUGAUACGAUCCGAUUCCCACAUAAAAGUAGGUUUCACUAGAAAGUUGGCAUUUCAUGGAAAUGCAACUCCUUACAAUAUCUUUUAGUCUCUCAGCCUUCUGAUACGUAUCAUGCAAGAAGUAGACUAGAAGCAAAAACAAACAUACAAACCGUGCAAAUCCCAUUUAGAAUGUAGACCUUACGCGUAACUGUCAUCUUAGAGUAGACGCCUUUGUUUUGCCUGGAUAUUCAUGAGCGAUCAUUUUGAGCAGUCACGCCUACUAAUAGAUACCAUUCUAAGAUGACUGGCCGCUACGCGUAAGGUAUAUAUUUUAGACCCUGGCCGCUUAAUGUGCAUUAAGAUGCCUUAGAAACUGCUCAAAAAUUGGGCUACCUUAUCUGUGAGAAGGAAUUUUCCUCGAAUGGUUGUAAUU
Long non-coding RNA from Patiria miniata (bat star), 665 nucleotides. RefSeq lists it as uncharacterized. The transcript is spliced from 3 exons. NCBI's taxonomy places the organism in Eukaryota, Metazoa, Echinodermata, Asteroidea, Valvatida, Asterinidae. The record is from RefSeq and is a predicted model, not a curated record.